UCUGUGUUACCGCUGCUGCUUGGUGGAAGUAACAGGACAUGGAUUCUGCCUCGUAAGUGGCAGUUUCCCUUUUCUCUCUGACUUGUCCUAGGCCGAUUUCUCUAUGGCUUCCCUGAGAAAGGUGGGGCCCAAAGGAGAGAGGGCUUCAAACUGUCCCAGGUCCUGCCCAGCUCAGUGUGUAUCUUCUUGCUUCCAUGUGUCUUUUCCCCUGCUGCCUCACUCCCCACCCCCACUUGCCAGGUGUUUGAGCCAUUUCUACACCAAAGCAAAGUACGGCCUCAGGAGGGAGUAAAAAGGGUGCCAUCUGUGUCUGGAGGGGCAGCUGUGUUCAUGCCCUGUGCUACUGGACAUUUCACAAUUCUGGCACCUUGCGAUUGGUCAGUCAACCUCAGAAAGUAACUAUCUUGAAGGUUUGAAAAACAACCAAAGAAAGGGAGUGAAGACUAUGGCUGCGUGUCCUCUGCUUGCCCGGCUGCAGAGCAGAGAUGUGCAGCCCUCUGGUCAGCUGGUCCAGGCUGGUCCCCGCCGGCCCCCUUCCAGUCCAGCCACCAGGAGCCCACUUGUCCCGGGCUUCCACCUGGCUGACAGGAAGAAUUUCUGAGAGCCCGAUGUGCAUGUCUUGUGGAUGAAGGUACAGCUCGCCUGCCUGCCCCAGCCCCAGCCCUGACAAUCACAUGCAGCUGACUCGGACACUGGCCUUGGGAACAAUGUUUGAGAGAACAUCUGCCCCUUGACUGUAGGAGCCAGAAGGGGACCCAGGUGUGCAUAGCUCUCUGUAGACAUUUUUACCCCAAACUGUUGGUAAAGCACCCAUCUGGUGCUCAAGAGAGCCUGGGGGUCUAAUAGGGAGCCCGGCUGCCUCACCUGGCCACGGCCUCCAUGCCAGAUCUCCACAUUGUCUUGAUCCAGACCAGCUCUGUGAUCAGAAGGAAAUUGGGUCCAAUGUAGGAGCGAGCUGGUCCUGGGCCUGGCAGGCAAGAGUAUGGGCAUCCUUUCCCGGCCUUUCUCCACUCUCCCUCAGGCCUGUGCUCAGGUUGCCUUGAAUGUGGACUCUGGAAGAGCCAGGGGCCCAGAAUGCCGGGGGAGGCUUCUGGGUGGCACUCGUGGAACACCGUCCCUCUGCCAGCCAUAGGCCCUGCCUCCAGUGUCAGGGAAUGGAGGCUGGGCUGCGAGAGUGCUGCUGCCCCAUGUUGUUCUUCUAAUCCACUGUAGAAAUUGUACGUAAUGUAUUUAAAUCAACACAAAUGUAUGAAUAACAAAUGCAGUUCUGACCUUUUUUGUCCAUUUCUUUGGGGGAAGGAAGACAAAGAAGGUAGGAACUGAAUUUUGAGGGCAAGGAAACCUGUGUUUCCACAGAGUUGCUGAGACAUGGCUCCUGGGGCUAUUUCUCCCUAGUAAAGGACGAUCCAGGUCCUCAUUUCCAAAGUCCCAAUGCUCUGAAAACCAAAAGUAUUUUCAUAACCCAUUUGAAACCAAACCUGACCUGAACCUACACUGAUAGGAAGCUAUUGGUAAUUAUGAUGUGUUCCUUUUAGUGUGAUUCUUUGUUGCAGAAAUGUCAAUAUAUUUUAUGACAUGGUUCCCUACUAGGGAUUAUACAGUAUUUGCCCUGACUACUUCCUAAGAGCCAAAAAUAAAAAAUCUGAAUUCC
This is a long non-coding RNA of Pongo abelii (Sumatran orangutan), 1651 nucleotides long. NCBI's taxonomy places the organism in Eukaryota, Metazoa, Chordata, Mammalia, Primates, Hominidae. The record is from Ensembl.